UCCAUGAAGCUGGAUUCGCUAGUAAUCGCGCAUCAGCCACGGCGCGGUGAAUACGUUCCCGGGCCUUGUACACACCGCCCGUCAAGCCAUGGAAGCCGGGAGUGCCUGAAGUACGCGACCGCAAGGAGCGUCCUAAGGUAAAACCGGUGACUGGGGCUAAGUCGUAACAAGGUAGC
RNAcentral lists this ribosomal RNA (176 nucleotides) under uncultured bacterium. RNAcentral's name for it is "partial 16S ribosomal RNA". It matches the Rfam family "Bacterial small subunit ribosomal RNA", at positions 1317 to 1500 of the family's 1533-position model. The record is from RNAcentral.